Molecule: ribosomal RNA, 468 nt
Filed under: uncultured bacterium
Lineage: Bacteria
Description: partial 16S ribosomal RNA
Rfam family: Bacterial small subunit ribosomal RNA
Source: RNAcentral
GACGAACGCUGGCGGCGUGCUUAACACAUGCAAGUCGAACGGAAAGGCCCUGCUUUUGUGGGGUGCUCGAGUGGCGAACGGGUGAGUAACACGUGAGUAACCUGCCCUUGACUUUGGGAUAACUUCAGGAAACUGGGGCUAAUACCGGAUAGGAGCUCCUGCUGCAUGGUGGGGGUUGGAAAGUUUCGGCGGUUGGGGAUGGACUCGCGGCUUAUCAGCUUGUUGGUGGGGUAGUGGCUUACAAAGGCUUUGACGGGUAGCCGGCCUGAGAGGGUGACCGGCCACAAUGGGACUGAGAUACGGCCCAGACUCCUACGGGAGGCAGCAGUGGAGAAUAUUGCACAAUGGGCGGAAGCCUGAUGCAGCAGCGCCGCGUGCGGGAUGACGGCCUUCGGGUUGUAAACCGCUUUCUCCUGUGACGAGGCGUGAGUGACGGUAAUGGGUAAGAAAGCACCGGCUAACUACGUG